GCUCUGAUAGCUUAACCCUUAAAGCACUG
RNAcentral lists this transfer RNA (29 nucleotides) under Australolacerta australis. Its description in RNAcentral is "partial transfer RNA-Thr". The record is from RNAcentral. Lineage: Eukaryota; Metazoa; Chordata; Lepidosauria; Squamata; Lacertidae.